UCAAAAACUAACGAGGGAGCUAAAUGGAGAAGAAGAACAGAUUAUGUAUUAAAUUUUAAAAAAUAAUUUGAAAAAGGAAAAAGAAAAACCCUGAAGCUUUGAGCUUAAGGAGUUUAUCGUUUGCUUAUUGUUUGGAUUUGAGUGAUUAAAGAAAAAUUAAUUGUUGCAGUGAGGAAUUUAUUUUGUGAGUUUGUGAUAUUUAAUUCAAUUUUUUUAAUGGAACAGAGUGAAGUUUCAGAUUUUACGCCAAAGAAAUUAGCGCGACAGUUAGAUUUUACGGUGAUUUAUAGAGCGUCACCGAAUGCAGCUUUAUCUGAGCAUUCAAAGCUGCAGCAGCCACCGCCGACGCCAACUCCACCACGACCGCCGGUGGUGGACCAGCUGCAAUCACAAUCGGAUUUGAAUUUACAACCACAUCUGCCGCCUGUAUUGCAAUUAAAAGUAGAAGCGCCGACGAAGAUGCAGUUACAGUCACAGGCAAUGCCGCCGCCGCCGCAGCAGCAAAUGCAUGUAGGGCCUCAGCAGGUGGUGCGGCGGAUUCCUCACCCCGUUCAGAAACUCCCUGUGCAGUCAAUGCAGCUAACCAAACCACAGUCACCUAGUGCUAGACCGAGAAAUGUUAGUGAAGCAAAAGAUGGUAUUAGUGGUACUCCUAAGAAAGCAAAGCAAUGUAAUUGCAAGAAUUCAAAGUGCUUGAAGUUGUAUUGUGAGUGCUUUGCUGCCGGGGUUUAUUGUAACGGUUGCAACUGCUUAAAUUGUCGUAACAACGUGGAACAUGAGAAAGUAAGAGACGAGGCAAUCGAGAUAACCUUAGAUCGCAAUCCAAAUGCUUUUAGACCAAAGAUUGCUAGCAGCCCACAUGGACCUAGGGAUGCUAAGGAAGAACCAAUGGAUGUUCAAUUGGUAGGGAAGCACAAUAAAGGAUGUCACUGCAAGAAAUCAGGGUGCCUCAAGAAGUAUUGUGAAUGCUUCCAAGCCAAUAUCUUGUGCUCUGAAAAUUGUAAAUGUGUGGACUGCAAGAAUUUUGAGGGGAGCAUAGAAAGAGGAGCUCUUGUUCAUGGUAAUCAUAAUGGCAUGGCCUUCAUGCAACAAGCCGCAAAUGCAGCCAUUUGUGAGGCUAUUGGAUCAUCUGGCUAUGGAACCCUUUUUCCGUCCAACAAAAGGAAAAGUGAGGAACUAUUUAGCAGUAUAAACAGAGAUCAAUUAAGUUGCAAUGCAAAAUUCCAACAGGAAAAUCAUCAAAGGAACUCUGCAUCUUCUGCUUGUCCCUUGUCUAACCCUGUUUCUCAUAACACAUCUGCACUAGGAUCUUCAAAAUUGGCGUUCAAGUCUCCAUUAGCAGGCAUACUUCAACCACAAGAUGUGAACAAGCUCUGCUCGCUCUUGGUUGUGCUUUCACAAGAAGCUACGAAGGCAUUUGCAGGCAAAAAUGAUAUGAAAUCCAGGGGAGAAAGUAAUCACAAUUCUGAAUCUUCUUCUACUUCAUCUAUACGAGAAAGGGAAGAUCUAAAAGGAAAUAAUGUCCACAAAAGUGUGCCUGGUAAUCAUGUAAUUAGGAACGCGGCAGAAAGGGGUGGAAGUAGUGAUUUGAGAAUGGAUGAAGGUGAUUUGGAAAAUGGAAGGCCAUUGUCGCCAGAAAUUGAUUUAAUGUGCCGUGAGCAAGAGGUGAUUUUUGCAGAAGGUGAGACAGCAACUGGGAUGGAAAAACUUAGCCAAAACAAAAAUGAUAAAUCAUCCAGUACACGCGAGUACUCAGAGGUUUAUGCAGAGCAAGAGAAGCUCAUCUUGACUGAUUUCAGGGAUUUCCUUAACAGGCUUAUCACUUGCGGAAGCAUAAAAGAAACAGCAUGUUCUCCACCAGCCAGGAGCAAACUCCAUCAGGAAUCUGCAGCAAGAGAGAUCACGAGAUCUGGAGUUGAGACGCUAAAUCACAAGAAGGCUUGCGUUAAUGGCAUAGUGAAAUCUCCUGUAGCAACUUCUGCUUCAACAGUGGAUCGGCCUGUAAAAGCUGUAUUGCCUGUUAGAAAUGGAGUAACUCAUCCGGACAGUAAGAGCUAAUUCUUGGAACAAUCAGCUUCACGUGUCUACAAUAUAAUGCUAAUCUUGAUUAAGUCGUCAAUCCCGCCGAUCUAGAUGUUGUUAUUGAGGAAUUACUGGCUUUAAAAUAAGUUAUAAAGACUGGUUUAUGCUAAUGAAGUUCUAUUUGAUUGUAAAUUCAUGUAGAUGUCUAAACAGUUUUGCUUUCUUAGUUGCAGCAACACUGGCAGAUCCCUGGAGAUCCUAUCCUGUAAUAUCUUAAUUAAAAAGUGCUAUAACCUUCUUUCAAGCUCUCAUUGCAAGGUGGAAAAGGACAGAUGCAAUGAAUCUUUGGUAUAGGGAUCUUCUUGGUUCCUUCUUAAUCUAAUAAUUUUCUUCCCCCGUCUUUUUCAUGGAGUUUCCUCUUAUGUACUUUCCUUUGCAAUUCCCACACAAAACUUCUGUUUCGUUUAUAUAAUGGUUGUUUCUCUA
Molecule: RNA transcript, 2508 nt
Organism: Mercurialis annua (annual mercury)
Lineage: Eukaryota; Viridiplantae; Streptophyta; Magnoliopsida; Malpighiales; Euphorbiaceae
Gene name: protein tesmin/TSO1-like CXC 7
Exons: 9
Source: RefSeq, a predicted model, not a curated record